UCCGGAUUAACUCCGGCAGUUUCCUUAGAGUUCUCAGCAUUACCUGUUAGCAACAAAGGAUGAGGGUUGCGCUCGUUGCGGGACUUAACCCAACAUCUCACGACACGAGCUGACGACAGCCAUGCAGCACCUGUGCACCUCCCACCCGAAGUGAAGAGACUGAUCUCUCAGUCUCAUAGAGGGCAUGUCAAGACCUGGUAAGGUUCUUCGCGUUGCCUCGAAUUAAACCACAUGUUCCACCGCUUGUGCGGGUCCCCGUCAAUUUCUUUGAGUUUUAACCUUGCGGCCGUACUCCCCAGGCGGGGUGCUUAACGCGUUAGCUACGCCACCGACUCAACCAAGAAAAGACAUGCAUUGCAUGCUUUGCUUAGUCGAGCCGACGGCUAGCACCCAUCGUUUA
This 400-nucleotide unclassified non-coding RNA is filed under the name uncultured Rickettsiales bacterium. Its description in RNAcentral is "contains 16S-23S intergenic spacer region". Lineage: Bacteria; Pseudomonadati; Pseudomonadota; Alphaproteobacteria; Rickettsiales. The record is from RNAcentral.